UAAAACCUAAGCUUUUGAACCUUAGAGAUUACAUUUCGCAAGUACAAUGAAUUCAUUACAAUCGCUUCAUAAUGUUGAGAGAGACGUUUUCUAUAAGCAAUUAUCAUUCUGUGCUUUCAUGUUUCUCAAAAGAAGAGAGGUUCAGAUAACGAUAUAUCUCAUUGUUAUUAUUCUUCGGUUUAUCAUCUAACUUUUGAAUCAGGUGGAAGAACAAUCAUUCAUGAGCUGAUUCUCAUGCUUCUGCACCUUCUUCUUCUUGCUAUUCCAUCUUCCUCCAUUUCUCCACCAAAGCAGAGACCAUGAAGGAGCAAACAAUGGCAUCCAACAAAACCAGCUACAAGUUUAUUGCAUCAGUAUUUCAUUCAUCACUUUGGCUGCUUGGUUAGUUCAUGAUGAACUUCUUCUGCAGAACCUCUACAAUGGAUUAUGACCUUGUUUUAAGUUUUCGGUUAAUUCAAACACUAGGAAUGGCCAUGUCUUCCAUUUUUUUCUUCAUUCUUUUGUAAAGAGUAGUAAUAUUUCCAAGUUUAUUCUCAAAGAAAAAUUUGCCUUAUCUUUCUAUGUUAUGUAUUAUCCUUUUUGUUAAUUAUUUGUUGUUCUAUGUUCCUGAUGCUCCAUCUCAUAUGCUGUAGGAAAACUGAACAAAGAUUCCCAGUUGGAUGUCUUUUACAGUUUUAGGUCUCUAGUAGCAUCUUUGUUCCUCGUAAUUGUCAAAGGUGCCUUCUACUUUCUUUCUUUCUGUAUAUAUCACACCCAAGUUCAUUGUAGUUCUAAUAUAGAGAGAAAGUCUAACUAUAACAACUUUGUAAUGGUAACAACAUUCGUAUUUUAUAAUCAUUUUAUACCAUAAUAA
Molecule: long non-coding RNA, 853 nt
Filed under: Vigna radiata
Lineage: Eukaryota; Viridiplantae; Streptophyta; Magnoliopsida; Fabales; Fabaceae
Description: long non-coding RNA (VRAD_LNC010523)
Source: RNAcentral